Long non-coding RNA from Myxocyprinus asiaticus (Chinese sucker), 1860 nucleotides. RefSeq lists it as uncharacterized. NCBI's taxonomy places the organism in Eukaryota, Metazoa, Chordata, Actinopteri, Cypriniformes, Catostomidae. The transcript has 3 exons. The record is from RefSeq and is a predicted model, not a curated record.
ACAAGUGGGUUCUCUUUGAAAAAAGCCACAUUGACUGAUGCUUUGAUUGGGAAACAUACUGUUUCAUGCUCAAUCAAAAAGGCUUUCCUUUUCCAACUUUUUUUUUUUUUUUUUUGUACCUAAUGUUGCAUUUGCUAUUGCAUGGUAUAUUUUAGAAAUUGAAAGGACAACUGUGCCUGCAUUAUAUCACAUCGCCUUGUGUCAUCUAAAAUAGAUAUUACUCACGAGGAUGGGACUAAUUUCUGUUUGUUCCUGGAGUUAACAUGUGGAUAAGGGGAUUUGGUUUGGACCGUUACUGGUGUUAAAGAACCGAUUGCAUCAACAUCAACUACAAGGUUUCAUCUUCCAUCUACGGACUAAUUCAGAUAAGCUUCAUCACUUUCACUGUGUGUGACUGAGGUUGCGGCUGGCACUGAUGGACAGUUUUGUAAGAGACAAGUUAAAUGAAUGGCAGCUUGACAACCCGGUAGAUACCUUUAAAGAUAAAUAUGUACCUGCUGUCCAGAAUUCUCUUUGCAUUGUCUCGUCUGGCAGUGGAAAAGGGCUUCAUUCCUCAACCCAAGAGAGAUUCGUUCCCGCUGUUUGCUACACUGGUGUGGGGCAUCGUUCUGUGGUUGUUUGAGUAUUAUCCUCAUACCCUGCAGCCCUCGCUACAGUCCUCUAUGAACUAACUCUAAAUUUAGCAGAAGAUGCUUUUAUGGUUGUUGACAUGAUGGAUCAUUUACCCUGUACACACUUGAAUCAAGAUAAUUUUUAAGGAAGGACUUAAGUCAUGAUAACUAAAAUAAGUAUUUUGUUGUUUGAAGUUUUCAGUGAAAUAAUCCAGGUGUGGUAGUCAGCGUCAAUACUCGCUGAGUUACCCAGGCUCCCUGUGAGUCACUUCUAAAACUCAUAUUGUAAGGCAAAUAUUCAGAUGUCAACACUGAAAGUUCAUGUUUAUUUUAUAGAAGGGCUUCAGAGUAGCAACAGCACUGGAUUUCCUGGAUUAACGACCUGGAUUUCUGCAUUUAAAACCUACAAUUUGACUGACUGAAGUCUUUAGAAACUCUUCUAACCUUAUACAGUGUUAUAAGCUUCAGAAACUCUGUUUUACACCAUAACUGUUACUGGAUAAUGUAUUUUUUCAUGGCUUGUACUUUUACACUGUUACUGUACUUAAGGACAUUUUUCAGGAGACAUUUAAGGAGUAUUUUAACCAACACAAAAUAUGUAUCGUUUUAAAGUUUAGAAGCUCUACUUUACAAUGCAUGUAGCCAUUAUGCCCAAAACUGAACAAGUGCUUUGAAACGUUCCGAUUUGAUAAUUUAUUAAUAAUUUUGCACUGUACAUUUUAUUGUAAUCAGUAAAAACAUAAAGCUCAUCAAAUAGCCAUGUGUCAUAUGUUGUUGGAAAGCUCUCAAAGAGUAGAAAACAACCAACCAGCCUCUUUGUUUUACUCACUGACAAAAAUGUAGCGAGUAAUAGCUAAGUAUAUGUCUUUGACAAUUAUGUUGUUGUUGCUUAUAUGCCAUGUUUUCACUUAUAACUUCAUGAAAAAUAAAGGGAACAUAAAAUAUCACUUACACUACUUGAUUAUCAUUCAAACAAGCCCCCACACAAUGUAAUCAGAUGUAUAGAUCAUUAGAUAAUCCACAUGAAGCACAAUGUUACAUAUGGCCACCAGGAGAUGGUGCCAAAUACAUGACACAGACUCAAUGAUGACUCAUAUGGCACAGAAUGAAACUCAUUCUUUAAAAUUUCUUUAAUAAAAUCAUGUAUGCAUGCUAUGCAAACCUUUAGUCAUUGUUGUGUUUGCAUGUGUAAUUAGUUCUUAUGAACAAUUAUUUUGUUUUAUUUGUUUGAAGAGGCUUUUUUGGACAC